Conger conger (European conger) is the source of this 511-nucleotide long non-coding RNA. RefSeq lists it as uncharacterized. NCBI's taxonomy places the organism in Eukaryota, Metazoa, Chordata, Actinopteri, Anguilliformes, Congridae. The transcript is spliced from 3 exons. The record is from RefSeq and is a predicted model, not a curated record.
GGGUGGUAACUUGCUAGGUAACAGGUCGACACAGCAAAAUUAAAAGCUAACGCCAAAUAGAAGCAAACUAGCUAGUCAAUUGCAACACAAUUUUGACCGGCAACACUGGCAAAAUGGGAAGUCUAGCAAACCCAGCACCAUGCACCUCAAUCUCUUCCUCCGGCCAUCAAACAGCAGAGAUGGGCGCGGUAACCCUGCACUCAGCUCCGGGAAACCCCACGCUGUUGUGGCGUCACUACGCACAAGAGGGAUCGUCGACGCAAACUCUACUGGGAGCCAUGCGCGGUAACGGGGUCAGUCGACAAGAGAAGACUGAAGGCGAUCUCUAAUGAUUCUGUAAGGAGGAAUGAUCAAAGAUCCCCCUAAUAUCCUAUGCUCACUUCAUGAAGGCCUUAUAGAAGAUGACUCUUUGCAAAGGGAGCAUGCACAUACUACUGAAAAUCUAUUCAUUUUUUGUGAAUAUUUGUUCGUUUUUAAGAAUUAGAUUGGUUGAUUCCACUGAAUAAUUAUU